This 468-nucleotide ribosomal RNA is filed under the name uncultured bacterium. Its description in RNAcentral is "partial 16S ribosomal RNA". It matches the Rfam family "Bacterial small subunit ribosomal RNA", at positions 28 to 507 of the family's 1533-position model. The record is from RNAcentral.
GACGAACGCUGGCGGCGUGCUUAACACAUGCAAGUCGAACGGCAAGGCCCUGCUUUUGUUGCGUGCUCGAGCGGCGAACGGGUGAGUAACACGUGAGUAACCUGCCCAUGACUUUGGGAUAACUUCAGGAAACUGGGGCUAAUACCGGCUCGGAGCUCCUGCUGCAUGGUGGGGGUUGGAAAGUUACGGCGGUGGGGGAUGGGUUGGCGGCUUAUCAGCUUGUUGGGGGGGUAGUGGCUUACCAAGGCGUUGACGGGUAGCCGGACUGAGAGGGUGACCGGGAACAGGGGGAGUGAGAUACGGGACGGAGUCGUACGGGAGGCAGCGGUGGGGAAGAUUGCACGAUGGGCGGAAGCCGGAUGCAGCAACGCGGCGUGCGGGAUGACGGCCUUCGGGUUGUAAACCGCUUUCGCCUGUGACGAAGCGUGAGUGACGGUAAUGGGUAAAGAAGCACCGGCUAACUACGUG